This 19202-nucleotide long non-coding RNA is filed under the name Lotus japonicus. RNAcentral describes it as "long non-coding RNA (LJAP_LNC001729)". Lineage: Eukaryota; Viridiplantae; Streptophyta; Magnoliopsida; Fabales; Fabaceae. The record is from RNAcentral.
UAACAUGUUUUUCAAAAUUGGAUCACAUUAUGAUGCAAAAUAAUUAAAGAAAUAUUGACCAUGUUGUACAUGUGAUUUUAAUUAUGAGUUUUAUCAAGAAUGAAGAUGGAGGGUGGGGAUUUCACAUAGAAGGACAUAGCACCAUGUUUGGCACUACAUUCAACUACAUAUGUAUGCGCAUUCUUGGAGAAGGGCCUAAUGGAGGUCAAGACAAUGCUUGUGCUAGAGCACGCAAGUGGAUUCAUGAUCAUGGUGGUGCGACAUAUGUACCUUCUUGGGGGAAAACUUGGCUUUCGGUAUAUAUGCUUCUUUUAAAAUUUUAAAAAUAUUCACUUAGUUUUAUUAACAAAUAGUAGUAGGUAGCAAUAAUAAUAUAAUUUUUUUAUAUACAUAGAAGAAAACCUUUUAAUUUCCAAAGGCUGGAAUAAUUUAUUGAAAGAUUAUAAUUAAAUUAAUCUUGAGCACAUAACAUAAUUAUUCAUGCAAAUUUUUUCUUAUACUUUUUCAUGUCUCUAUAGGUAUAUGUAUAUUAUAUAUAUAAUAUAUUAAAAUGAAUAAUGACUCUUGCAACGACAGGUACUGGGAUUAUUGGAAUGGCGUGGAACCAACCCAAUGCCUCCUGAGUUUUGGGGGUUUCCUUCUAUUUUUCCUAUGCAUCCAGGUUGUUUAUGAUAAUUAAUAGUGCUAUACUAUUAUUCUUUUCUUUAAUUAAACAACACUAGAUUAUUACACCCUAUAGUAAAUUGAAUGUGCUUAUUAAAAAAAAUCGAUAGUUAAAACUAUCCAAUGCUUGAAUUAAGCUUAUUUAUACUAACUGACUCACUUUAAAAGGUGAAAUAAGGCAAUUAAUUUAUAAAUUAUUUUUAAAGCACAUUUGAGUUAAUUAUGUAUGUGUAAGUAUAUAAUUACAAUUUUAAUUAUUGAUUUCUCAAUCGAUAAUUAUGAUAAUUUAUUUUAUUUUUAAAAUAAUUUUUUCACUUUAAAUAAGUCAAAUAUGUGAGUGACUUUUCCAAUGAAUGUGUACUUGGUACUUGGUAGUGAACUAUGAGGUUGAGUUGGUCGUGACCCAAUCCAAAGCACAAAUAUAUAAACUCAAAAGAACACAUUAUUUUUUUUUAAGAAAAAAUAUCAUUAAAAAUUUAUCAUAUAUUAAAUUUCUUUAAAAAAAGAUAUAUUGACCUGUUAUAGCAGGUUUAAAAAAGUGGUCUAAUUUUAGACCACUUUAAAAGUGGUCCACAUUAGGGGUCACCCAAAAGUUAAGACUUUGAAGCUUCUCCAUAUAUAUAUAAAAGUGAUUAUGAACAAACGGAGGUACCUUAGGGAUGGGUGGGGCACUUGACCCCACCACAAUUUGACUUUUCUCACAUACAAUAGUACUAACAUUAAAUAUAAUAUAUUUAUUUGCCCCCACCACAAAAUAUGUGCCCCGUAACCGACACUUUAAGGUUGUUGGACAAGUAUUAAGAAAUAUCAAUUAAUGUUCUUGUUUUAUUAAAAUUACAAUCUAACUUCCUACUAUACCCUUUAUCUCUCAUAUUAAUUCUAAUUUUUCAACUUUUCUACCACCAAUAAAUGAAGGGUACAAUUGGUAAAGUAUAAUUAAUGCUCUCUUGAACUUUGUAAAGUGGCAGAUAAUUAGGAACAAAAUUUAGCUAGAAAUAGUGUCAGUUAUUUAGGAAUGGAGGGAGUAAAAAUUUACCAUCAAUGCCACUAAAAGCUAAACUUCAUCAGAUGUACUUUUGUUGAGAUUGUGUGUUACACACACUUUUAGAAAAUCAGAAGCUUCAAGAAGCUCUUUAGCUGUGCAUUUUUUUUUUCCUGGAUCUGUGAGUUAGAGCAGAGGAUCAUUUUCAAGAAGCUCUAUAUCUAAUUUGGUUAGUCUUCACUCUUCAAUUUUAUCUUACUCCUUGUCUGUGUAGAUGUGUUACGUGUUGCCUUAUGCCCUUAUUCACUUAGUUUUCACUCUCUUAGCAUUGCCAUAUGUGUUUGCUUGUCCAUGUGUGCUGCUGUGCGUUCCUCAUUUGCUUCAACCUUGUGAUUUUGUCAUUCUAUAAUCUGAUCAUAUAUUCAUGUUAGCAUUUAUAGUCAUUGAAAAGAUAAAAUGAAAAAAAAAUGGGGUCAGUAGAUCUACAAAUUUAUUUGUGUAUGUUGCCCCCACGACUUAAAACUCCUGGAUCCGUCCCUGAUUAUGAUGUUUCUAACCACGAAACCAAACACGUUACAUGUGUAUCAUAUUUAUUGUUUUAUUAUGUCAUUCUCAUCUUAAUUAAUUAAUGCAGAUAAAAUGUGGCUUUACUGUCGAUUGGUUUACAUGCCUAUGUCAUACUUAUAUGGGAAGAGGUUUGUGGGUCCAAUCACACCACUCAUUCUUCAACUGAGAGAUGAACUCUAUACUCAACCUUACCAUAAAAUUAAUUGGAAGAAAACACGUCACUCAUGUGCAAAGGUGAAAGAAUGGACCAAUCUAUACAUAUCUAUUCUAUGAUCAUGAAUGAAUUGUUUGUCCUAUAUAUAUCGCAGGAAGAUCUUUAUUAUCCUCAUCACUUUUUGCAAGAUAUGAUGUGGGAUAGUGUAUACAUAUUUGGGGAGCCACUUCUCACACGUUGGCCUUUGAAUAAGCUAAUAAGGAAAAAGGCUCUUCAAAUAACAAUGAAGCGUAUCCAAUAUGAAGAUGAGAAUGGUAGAUAUAUAGACAAUGGAUGUGUGGAAAAGGUCGGUAUUAUAUCACCUUUCAUUACAUAGCUAGCUAGCUAUAUGCAUAAACUAUAUAGUAAAAUUACACAAACUAAAGUAAAACUAAGGCAUGCAUGUUUGAUUAUUUUUCAUUUGCAAGAAAUGAUUUUUCUUAAAAGUAAAAUAUUUUUUUGAAUUAAAAUGUGAUGAGAUACAAGUCAUUUUGAUAAAUGAUAAAACCAACUAAAAGAGAUAAAUCCGAAAAGAAUCUCCGCCCUUGCAGAAAUAAUUUUCAAAACAUGUAUUUUCAAAAAUAAGAAGAUGGGUUGAGUGAGACGUUUUAUAAAAUUGAAACUAGAAAGACAUGUGAUUUGAAAAUAAAAUAAAAUAGAACCAGAAAAAUAUCUAAAAUAUUUUGGAAUUCGAUUUUGUUUUAAAAAUAAGACUUGUUUUUAAAAAUAAUUUAUCUUAAACUAGUUUUCUAUUUUUUCCGUCUUUAAAAACCAAAAUUAUUUUACAAAAUGAUAAUCAAACAAGUACGUUUAGUUAUGAACUUUUAAAGUUCAUUAACGUUUUGUAAUACGUUUAUAUAAGCCAGGCUUUAUUUAUGCUUGCUCGUUGGGUGGAAGAGCCAAAUGGAGAUGCUUUCAAGAAGCAUCUUGCAAGGAUUCCAGAUUACUUAUGGCUUUCAGAGGAUGGAAUGACCAUGCAGGUUUGGCCUCUCCCUCUCUAUCUCCUAGCGGGGUCGAGAUUCUCUGCCCAAAAUGAUGUGUAAUGUGUUGUGUGUGAUGCUUUUUAAAAAAAAAUAUGUUAGCGAUAUAUAUAAAUGAUGCACUUUAUCAUAAUACAGAGUGUUGGUAGCCAAUCAUGGGAUGCUGGAUUGAUAGUUCAAGCUUUGCUGGCCACAAAUCUUACAAAUGAAAUUGCUCCUACACUUCUUAAAGGGCAUGAUUUCAUCAAGAAAUCUCAGGUGAUGUUAGUUUGUUGGUUUAGAUAUUUUUUUUUUCUUUGACAUAUAUUCCCAUCUGUUCGAGACAGUGGUAAUUAUCAAUCUGAAUAAAUGAUUUUCUCGCGGCGAACUUGUGAGGGUCUAGCUAGCUUGCUUUAACUAGACCAAACAUUUUGUAUGAAAGCUAGAUGUUUUCUAUUAUAUAUAUAUAUGUUAGUAGUCAAAUGAAUUCUGCAUCAUAUUUGUUUGCUAAUUAAUUACAAUAAUGAAUGACAUUUUUUUUUCACAGGUCAAGGAUAACCCUUCAGGAGAUUUUAAAAGUAUGUCCCGUCACAUUUCUAAAGGAUCAUGGACCUUCUCUGAUCAGGACAAUGGAUGGCAAGUUUCUGAUUGUACUGCAGAGAAUUUGAAGGUAAUUAACUACCUAACUAAUUUGAUAUAUGAGCUUUGUUUUAGUCAUGUGUUAAGACUACACAAAUCAAAUUAAAUUUUGUUUCAGUGUUGUCUAUUGUUAUCAAUGUUACCAUCAGAGCUAGUUGGUGAAAAGAUGGAUGAUGAAAGAUUAUUUGAUUCAAUCAAUAUUAUUUUGUCACUUCAGGUGAGUAUUAUUGAAUUUACAUCCUAGUAAUUUUUCUUCUUUUUUACUAUAAAUUCCAAUGGGCCUUUGUACUUACUUAAUUUUGGUUUCUAUAUGUUAAAAUGAUCAUUUCAAAAAAAAAUGUUAAAAUGAUAGCUCAAAGCAUUUGAUUUUUGAUCUACUUGUACAAGAUUUGCUUUUUGAAUAUAAUCUUUCAACUCAUGUAGAGUAAAAAUGGUGGCUUCUCAGGGUGGGAGCCAGCAGGAGCUCCAGAAUGGUUGGAGGUAUCUUUCAACUCUUGUUUAUAUAACUUCCUAAUAUAUCAGUUAUUUCUUCAAUUAAUUUUGCCUUGUCUAUUUUUCUAUAAAACAUAAACUUAAAGGCAUAGUUGAUAAAACAUAAUUAAAAUUCCCUUGAAUUUUUAAAAACGAUAGAUACAGAGGAUCAAACAAUUUUUCAAAAUUGUGGUAUAUAUAAAGGAACAGAGAAAUGAAAUAGUAAGGGAGAUUAGUGGUGAACAUGUAUGAAUGAAUAAAUAUAAUUUACAACUAUUAUUAUAAGCUAUUCUUCUCACACUUGAUGAUAAUAUGAUCCUUAUUUGUUUAAUUCAUGGAAUGCAAGUGGGCAUUACCUUAUUGAGCUUCAAUGUCAAAUGAUUUCAGAUACUAAAUCCCUCAGAAAGUUUUGAGGACAUUGUGGUAGAACAUGAAUAUGUUGAAAAUACUGGAUCAGCAAUUGAAGCAUUAGUUUUGUUUAAGAAACUCUACCCAGAGCACAGGUUGAAUGAAAUAGAGAGUUCAAUUGACAAUGCAGUUAGAUUCAUUGAGGAUACACAAACUAGUAGUGGGUCAUGGUAUGGAAAUUGGGGUGUUUGCUUCAUUUAUGGGACCUAUUUUGCUCUUGGUGGGCUUGCAGCAGUUGGAAAGACUUUCUCCAAUUGCAGUGCUAUUCCCAAAGCAGUGAACUUUUUACUCACAACACAAAGAGAGAAUGGUGGUUGGGGUGAAAGCUAUCAAUCAUGCCCAAGAAAGGUUUGUUAAUUAUUAUUAUCAAUAUUUCUGUAUCCUUAAAUGGUGUCUCAUUUCUCAUUCUCAGUAGUACAAUUUUGUCAUUUUAAUUCAAAACACCCACGUUAGUUUUUAACCGGCUCACUCUCACGCAUUCUUUACUUGUUGUGACAAAAUUUUACUAGUGGGAGAGGAAAGUGAGAUACAAAUUAAAGUGAAACAAAAGAUUUUCAUCCUUGUUAUCAAAUGAUUGCAAAUUAGCUAGCCUUACUUAUAAUUAAUAUAUCUUAUAGUUAAUAGAUCUUAUAGUGAUUAAUCAUAAUGACUUGGAUAAUGCAGAGAUACAUACCCCUUGAAGGAAUUCAGUCAAAUGUUGUACAGACAGCAUGGGCUUUGAUGGCUCUAAUUCAUUCUGGCCAGGUUUAGUUUGGGCUUUUUGCAAUUGUAAAAUAUGGACACACAUGAUUGUUAACAUUCUCUUGCUUUUUAUUUAGACAAUUCUACCAUACUUUCUUAUUUUUUGCUAUGAAUUAGAUUAUAAAAAUUAAGACACGAGUUAGAUUGUAAAACAAAAUUGGAUUAAAAGGUUAAUAAGUAAAAUAAAAGGUUUGCGCAAAAUAUAUAAUUGAACUCUCUUGCUAGGAAUUGGAUUAGCUAGGUACUUGUAACUGGGUAAGGGUGAAAUACAGGAUAAAGCACUACUCUGCUCUCUUGAUGGAGUAAAAUAUUUAGACGGAUAAGAUUACACCCAACAAAUUAACAACAAAAUAAUGGAGAUGUACAGCUAUCAUAGAGAAAAAAGCACACGAUAUGAAACAAAUAUAAAUUUGAUAAAAUAUAUUAUUUGUUCAAAAAAUUAAUAACUAAAGGAGUUUUGAAAAAUUCAAUUCACUUUAGAGGAACUAGUAGAAGUUAUAUACAUAUAUAUAUAUAUGAAUGUAAACAAAAGAAUCACAAACUAAUAACAUGUUUAGUUGUUACUUUUGUGGUGAGAAGUUCCACAAUUAGCUAAGCUAUAAAAUAUAACUCUUGAUGCUAUCAUGUUUUGGAUUGUGUGCCACACCACCCAUCCAAACACAACAUAUUUUGGGUUCAAAUUUUAUCACAUUGACUUUAUAAUCACAAUUCUUAGAAAAUGUUAAAUAAAUGAAUUCUUGUUUUGUAAUAAUUCAUAUAUACAGGAGGAAAGAGAUCCGACUCCACUUCAUCAUGCCGCAAAGUUUCUCAUCAACUCCCAACUUGAAGAUGGUGAUUGGCCUCAACAGGUACCUAUAUCAAGCUUUUUAUGCUACUAUUUGUAAGGUUCCUAUAUACUAAUCAGGAUUUCAAAUUGUGGUCGUGGCCGCAUCACAAAACUGUACAUGUGAGUUGAUACGGUCACAAUUACAUUUACAAUGUUAUUGGGGGACUCUAAAACUUUUAAUUUUGCAGACGACACAUUUGAGAUUACAAACCACAAUUCAAAAUUGACUACUAAUUUAGGACAUAAUACAAGCAAACAUUCAUUCACACCAACUUAUAGUAAUUUUCUUUUGUCAAGAUUACAACAUUAUUGAUUUCAAAUGUUAGCUUUCUAAAAACAUUACAAUUGGCCUAUGAUUAAUUAUUUUCGUAUCUAACAGGAAAAUGCAAUAGUUUUGGAGUUAAGGAUUUCUUUGACAUGCAAUUUACAAGUUUUGUUUUAUGUUCAAUGUAUGGCAGGAAAGCACUGGAGUGUUCUGUAGGAACUGCAUCAUGCAUUAUCCAAUGUACAGAAACAUCUUUCCGAUGUGGGCUCUAGCUGAAUAUCGCAAGCGAGCUGGAUUACCUUCACUUAAAGCCUAAUUAUCUUAAAAGCAAUAAGCAUUUGGAACAGAAGAAUAUAGAGAAAAUCAAACAGAAUAUAAGUGUUAUAUACAUAUGGAGUCACCUAUCGCGUUUGUAAAAAGUUUAUUUAUAUUUACCUUUAUAACAUAAACGUUUAUUAUACGAUGUGCUUGUAUAUAUUAUACGUACGUGAGUUUCAAUUCAAAAUAAAAAUAAAAAUAAUUCUAUUAGAAUAUAAUAAUAUAAAAUCAUAUUAUUCACAUGUCAAAGAGUUAGAUCCCUGCCGCCCCCAAUUCUUCUAAUAAAAAAAGUUCAAUUUCAGCAUAUGGUAGGUGAGCAUUUGCAUUGUCCACGCUUCAAGCCCAAAGAACUAACAAGAGAAUGAGUUCAGAAUAACCUGGGUUGAAGCACACGAACAAUGUUGUCCUUAGAGAGAAAAGACCCACUCCACUGUUGGAUUGAAAUUUGAUGCAUUCUUCUCCUAAGACACGUCAACCCGUGGAGUCGGAGCUUUGUUAUGUAUUUUCUCUAUCAAACGUGAGGUAAAAAUAAAGAAAGUGUGGUGAGAGUGGAGAUAUUUUGUAUAAGAGCUAUAAAACAAAAUUGAAUCUAGAAUAAAAAAUCUGCAAUAUUAAUUAUUAAGGAAAUAGAAACAAAUCCUUUCAUAAAAGUAGGAUAGAGAUUUUGAAGUCAAAACCAUCUCAAAAAGAUAAAUAGCUUAAGAAUAAAAUAUCAUAAACAUAAAAUAGGAUUUUAAAUUAAAUUAAAGAUAAUUUUUCCAACACUCUUGCGUGAUGGAUGUGUCAGAAUAACCAUUACCUAAUAGCUUAAACUUUUGGAGUAAGUGCUUACUUGACAUAGUAUCAAAGUCUCUAUAAUUAAGCGGUCUAAAAUUCAAUCCAUGUCGUCUUCAAUUCUUCUAAAAUAAAGAAUAAAUUUAAUUUAAACAUAUGGCAUGUGGACCUAUGUAUUGUCCUUACUUCAAACCAAAAGGGCUCUUUGUGUGUGGGGAUGUAUAAUGUAUUAGAAUAUAAUAAUAUAAAACAAUUUUCUUUUAUCCACACGAUUUGUGUCGGUUGCGGAUUUUUAAGUGUGUGGGGCAUUGCAGAAUUGAAAUUAGUCUGUAUCUAGGACUGCUCGGUGUUUUCCUAGUUCAGCAUAAAUUUCGUUGCUAGAUACAUGGCCAAUCCAACACUAAGUGUAGCCUAAAGUAAAUUAUAUGAGUUUUUUUUACCUAAAAUAAUAUUUAGUAAAAAAGAAAAUCCGGAGCAUUUUUAACUUAGUAAAAAAAAUUGGGUCUUUUUUAUUUAAUAAAAAUUUUAUUUAAGCCUAAAGCCCUUAUUUGGUGACUUUACCUUUGGGCCAGCCGACCCUACUCAGGUAUUGAACGUUUGGCUGUGACAUGCUUUGUUGCUAUGUCGAUCAAGUUUAUUAAGGGUGGAAGGUUUGUGGUGUGUAGUUAGGGAUGGCAAUUUUGCCCAAACCCAUGGGUACCCGCCCGAACCCGAUCCGAUUUGACGGACAAAAUCCGAGUCGACUGGNNNNNNNNNNNNNNNNNNNNNNNNNNNNNNNNNNNNNNNNNNNNNNNNNNNNNNNNNNNNNNNNNNNNNNNNNNNNNNNNNNNNNNNNNNNNNNNNNNNNNNNNNNNNNNNNNNNNNNNNNNNNNNNNNNNNNNNNNNNNNNNNNNNNNNNNNNNNNNNNNNNNNNNNNNNNNNNNNNNNNNNNNNNNNNNNNNNNNNNNNNNNNNNNNNNNNNNNNNNNNNNNNNNNNNNNNNNNNNNNNNNNNNNNNNNNNNNNNNNNNNNNNNNNNNNNNNNNNNNNNNNNNNNNNNNNNNNNNNNNNNNNNNNNNNNNNNNNNNNNNNNNNNNNNNNNNNNNNNNNNNNNNNNNNNNNNNNNNNNNNNNNNNNNNNNNNNNNNNNNNNNNNNNNNNNNNNNNNNNNNNNNNNNNNNNNNNNNNNNNNNNNNNNNNNNNNNNNNNNNNNNNNNNNNNNNNNNNNNNNNNNNNNNNNNNNNNNNNNNNNNNNNNNNNNNNNNNNNNNNNNNNNNNNNNNNNNNNNNNNNNNNNNNNNNNNNNNNNNNNNNNNNNNNNNNNNNNNNNNNNNNNNNNNNNNNNNNNNNNNNNNNNNNNNNNNNNNNNNNNNNNNNNNNNNNNNNNNNNNNNNNNNNNNNNNNNNNNNNNNNNNNNNNNNNNNNNNNNNNNNNNNNNNNNNNNNNNNNNNNNNNNNNNNNNNNNNNNNNNNNNNNNNNNNNNNNNNNNNNNNNNNNNNNNNNNNNNNNNNNNNNNNNNNNNNNNNNNNNNNNNNNNNNNNNNNNNNNNNNNNNNNNNNNNNNNNNNNNNNNNNNNNNNNNNNNNNNNNAUCGUGAAGGAUACGGCGUUAGAGGCGAAGUAGCUGGAGGAGCAGGCGAGAAACCCAUCAUCUUCAUCUUUCAGAUCGGGGGGUGGGGGUUGAUUUGCGGUUGUGGGUUGCGGUGGGGAUGGGGUGAGGUUGGUGUGGUUUGCUGGUGUGAGUUCGGUAGAGGUGGUUCUCGGCUGCGCACAUUCCAGAUCUGAAAUCCAAACAGAGCAAGGAGAAAACAAAGUAGCAGACCCAAACCCAAAGCAAGGAAGAAAGCAAACCACCACCACCUCCCCUUCCCAAAAUCGGUGCUUCAGAAUGACUAACAACGACAGAAAAUCGGGGCUUGAGAAAGAGAUUGUGGUGGUGCGAGGUAUUUGCGGCUGAGUCGUGGUUUCCCAGGAUUCAACGUGUUUCUGUUGUGCUAUUUUGUUCAUCUAUUCAUACCCAUAAACCAGAUCUUCAUCUUUAGUUGUGUUUCAAAAUUUCUGAUUUGAUUUUGAUUGUAGUAAGUUUUAAUGGCUUAAUUUCUCAUUUUGGUAAAUAAAAAAAAACUUAUGUGGAUCUGGUGGAUUUGGGAAAAAAAUCAAAACUUUGAAUUAAUUGAAUGAGGGUGUUGGGGUAAGUUUAAAAUUAAGGAUAAAUGUUUUUUUUGGGGGUUGUUAAUUUCUGGCUGGGUAUGAUGUUUUUUGUUAUUAUUAGAUUAAGUUAUUAUUUAGGUAAUUAUUUAGUUAACGGAUUUUAUUUAAAUUAAGGAUUUAUUAAGUUUUUAAAUUUUUUUCUACUUAAAUAAAUGAGUUGGAAUAAAAAAAAUAAAGUUUUAUAAUUUUAUAAUUAAAAAAUAAUUAUAAAAGCCACGUGUAAUUGAUGACUAUGACAAAAUUGAGGUCUGAUAGCAUUUGGCCUUAAUUGAAUUAAAAAAAAUUCUUAGUGGGCCCAAUUUAAUGCGAAAAUUUUCCAGGCCCUGAAACUGAUUCCCUUUACAAAUUCAGGGGCCUUCUUAUGUAUUAAACCUAAAAAGAAAUACUUAAAAUUAUAAUAAAAAUAUACAAGCCCUCAGUUUUAUAAAAAAAAAAAUUAGUAAACCACGUUACAGUAAAAACACCCAUGAAAAACCGCCACAAAAUUGUGAAACUGCCAGCAAAUGCAUUUUUUUCAAGGUUGCAACUUUGUGGCAGUCUUAAACCGCCACAAAAAUCGGUGUUUGUACACCUUUUGGUGGUCUAGGAAUCACCACUGGUUUUACAAAUGUAAGUAUUCGAAUGAUAAUUCAAGUGGUAAGAGCUAGAGAAUAUAUAAGUUGCGUGGGAGUGGUCCAAAGAACAAUCCCUGAAGAGUGCAGUUUAAUGCAUUGGUUUAAAAAAAAGUUAUACAAUCUUCUAUACUUACCAUGGACGCUUGGUGUUGCGGGGUUUGUUUGGCUUUGACGACACUCAUUUCUGCUCCCUUUGCUUAUGGUCAGGUGAGGCACGUAGAUUUGGGUCGUUGUGAGCCAAUCAUUGUCUCUUAUUCGGUGUGCGUCUUGUUGGUUUUGAUUUGUUUGCCACUCCUCGCUACUGCAUUUCCUUCAAGCGCUCUUUGAAGCUACUUUUGGUUUGGUGGUUCUUCUUUUGGGAUUUUUAGUUGCACUUGUCACUGUGGUUCGUGCUUUGAAGAUGUAUGUGGAUUUCGAUUUGGUUGAUCUUCUCACGCUUAGGUGUUAGGUGUUGUUAGGGGUUGUUGUGUUAGGCGCUAUAGCUUGUGGGGUUUGCAAUCGAGGUGUUUUGAAUCUUUUAUGCUUGCUUUGGUUUUUGCCGACUUGCUUUGUUUGGUUACUGUAUCCAUGUUGAGAUGAGUGUUUCUCAACACUAUCUUUCAAUAUAUUUUACUUUAAAAAAUAUAUAUAUAUUCAACUAUCUCUUUAAAAAUAAGAACCAGUUAUUAUAUAAGUAACUUUAUUUUAUGAGUUCCUAGCAUAACAAACAUGUUUUAUCUCUUAUCCAAAUUGCUUUAUUACUUUAUGAGUACGAAAAUUUUCAUUGUAAACUACUCCAUUGUAACUUGACUACCUUUGUUUUUCUAUUAGGCACGAGGGCUCCCCGACGAGAGCGCACGAGAACGUACAAUUUGUUUCUUUUUUAUAUUUUCUUAAAUAACAAAAAUCAAUAUAAAACUGAAUUGGCUUUGACAUCCUGAGAUUCAAAAGCUUCUUUAUCUCUUUUAAUCUCUUCUGUAAAUGCCAUCGAUUUCUCAAUUUUUCCUUGAUUUUUCCAAUAAAAUCACCUAGCUGCAAUUUCCUUUGAAAUUAUAUCAAGAAAAACAAAGGCAAUCAAGUUCUUUAGCUUUGAGCUAUGAAAGUAAAGAGUGUAAAAAGUUAUUUUUAUAGAUUUAGAAUCGUCUGUAUCACUUAGGGUCGUGUACAGACAUUUUGGUGCUUAAGGCAAAAAUGUUAAAAUGCCUUUCCUUUUGAUAAGUAUCUUGAUUGAAAUAAUGAAUAUUGGUGUUGUUGGUAUUAUGUAUAGGUGAUUGUACUAUCACGUUUUCACAUAUUAAACUUGCUUCUACAUCAUUUUAAAACAAUCUUAUCAAAAGCGUCACGUUGAGAUUCAAUUAGUUUUUCAAUUUUUUUCUUCAAUUUUUCAAAACCAAGUUCGUACUUUUUUAUUUGGCAUUUUCUCUUAUAAAGAGUAGGAAUAAAAAAUAUAAAUAAAAUAAUGAAGAAAUAUGAACAAAAUAAUACUGUAAAAAUAAAAAAGUAUGAACUAUAGAACCUGGAACGCAAGGAAUGAAAUGGUGAGAGAUUUUGCAACACUUUGAUAUCAAAUAUCUCCUUUGAUUAUACAUUUCAAGGUAAAAACAAUGAAAACAAAUUGAGAGAAGAAACAAUGAUUAAAGAGACAACUUAUACAAUACUAAAAAUAUAUAAUUCAUAAAAAAAAUUAACUAACAAUUGUGAGUAAAUACAAAUGAACUUUUCAAUUUUGGGAAUGUAAAAGUAGUGAAUAUUUUAUUUAUUAGUUUUUUGGAAAAUCUAAAUUUGUUGCUACAAAAUAUUAGUACUAAUAACUGUUAAAGUUGCAUUUCCCGCAUUUCUCAGUUCCCACGAUUAAUGUUUUAUUAUUAUUUAAUUAUCUCUGUCAAGUCUCAGUAGUAUAUACUAUAUAUAUACUAUUUUUUUUGUAGGGGGCCUUAGACAUUAGACAAUAACCUUGAUGGCCUUGUCUGCUCCAUGCUCCACGACCCUAGUAUCACCCAGUUGUAGAAGAAGAAAAGAUCUUUGAAACCAAAAUUGAUUUGUUUAACUACCUCAUGAAAGAUUAAUACCAGUGUUGUUUGGCUCUGAGAAGGUAAAAGAGCUUGAUGGGUUGAGGAUGGGGCAGAGCCUAUCGGGAGGUCCACAAAGGAGGUUGAUGGCGGAGGUCGGCAGUGGCGGAGCUUGACCAAAAAAUUAGGAGGAGCUAAAAUAAAUUUUUUAACACAUAAGCUAAUUUUUAUAAGCUCAAAUGUAUUCAAUUCAGUACAAGGGUGUUUAAACCUACAUGCAACAAAUUUCAAUGGCUCUAGUUCAAAGAAAUCUUACUAAACACACACCUACAACAAACCCCUCAACUAGCAGUAAAUGCAUCAGAAGAUAUGGUUCCCACAAGGAUUAUCUUAGCUGGCCGUAAAACAUCUCUUGAGAUCAAUAAUGAAAUUUGGUGAGGCAUUGCAUCAGAAGAUAUGGUUCCCACAAGGAUUAUCUUAGCUGGCCGAAAAACAUCUCCUGAGAUCAAUAAUGAAAUUUGGUGAGGAUCUCUUCUCAAAUUUAACCUGCACCAUGCCAAUCACCAUGCCAAUAAGGUUCCUUUCAAGAGUUGCAGUAUAAACAUUACAUUAGUAAUUCAAGAAAAUGUGGUUAAAAAAAGCUUUGAGUUUGAGAGCUGCACCCAAAGAAUAUUGAUGUCAGAGCAAGAAAAAGAUUAAAAGAAAAAUGAAGAUAAAAAGGUUGUGUUAGAGUUAGAAACCUGGAGUUUUGCACAAGAGGGUGAAAGUUUGGAAGCAAAGUUACUUUACUUUCUAAUAUUUAUCAUUAUUAUAAUAUAUCUAUAUGAGAAAAUUGGUUUGACAGUGAGAAUUGUGAUGUGAGAAGCUUCAAAUUUUUGUUUUAUAUGUCUGGCCCACUCCAUUUACACACAUAAUAUAAUAGUAUUACUACUAGUACUCAAAAUUUUUUUGGAGACAAUGGGGGAGCCGAGGCUCCUCCCAGUCACUUAAAUGCUCCGCCACUGGAGGUCGGCGUUCAUUGAGCAGUAAAAAGGUGAAGCGGCUCCGUUGAUGAUGGGAGAAGGAGAGAGAAUGAAUUAGGUUGGAAAUGAUAAUUUUGCCUUUGUCUUCAUUUUAUCUCGGUCUUUAACAUAAAAUAUUUUAGGAGGGUCGUACAUCUUCGGACUAUUUCCUUAUCUAUAUAAUUUUACUUUUCAAAGAAAAAAAAUAUUUAAAAAAAAAGUAGUGAAGCACGUCACUCAUGCAUCUCGUGCUUGGAAAUUUUCGUACCAUAUUGCGGUGCUGAUCAAGUUAAUAUCAAGGUACUAUUACAUUAAUAUGAAGUGGUUGUCAUUUUAAUAACUUUUUAUUAGUUUUAAAUUGACAUUAACUCACAGCUGUUUCUUCAAAUGGUUUCUCAAAUGCUACAACCGUAACUCCGUAAUUUCUAAUCAACGACCAUAAAUAAUUGUACGUCUCAUUGAAGACUAAGUGUACUAUGUUGGCACCACGCACCCCUACAAGCCAAAUUUAUUACUCUGUCCCUGUUAUAAAACCCCAAAGUAUGAAAACGUGCUUAAAACCAAUCUAUGUACACUCUCCGGUCACAUAUAUAAGCAAAAAAUAUAUUUUAGGUUCAUUCAUUUAAUGAAUGUAUCUAGUCAGGUGUACCUAGCAGAUUAAAAUUGAAAAACGACGGAACAAGUUGCUCGAUCCCACAAAUCGAGACCCAAUCGAACCAAUCAAAUUAAAGACCCCACCAACAAAACCCAAACUAAGUGUUACACGGCAGCAACGCAGAACCUAAGAGCAUCUUUAACCAUGAUAUUCACUAAAGUAUUUACAUUUUACUUUUUACAACUCUCAAUAAUGUCACAUCAUCUACAUCAUUUUAUUAAUUUUUACUAUAACUCAACAACUUUUAAAAGUUUAUAUAAAAAAUUAUUUUAUUAAUUGUAAGUUUUAUUUAAACAUUUUACAUUAAGCAAUAAUAAAUGCAAACACAUUUUUCAUGACUAAAUUGAGUAUCUACUCUCACAUACCCUCACUAGCCAUGUUGGAAUUAAAAAUAUGCUCAAAUGGUAAUAGAUAUUGGUGGGAAUUAAUCCAUCAUGGUAAGAACCUGCAGUUCUGAAGGUAUCUACUCUCAGAUAUGAAGGUAUCUACUCUCAAAUAUGCUCCAUUGGAGAUGCUAUAAGCUAAGAGAAAAUAACAUAAAGAUAAACAACAGAAGAAGCCAUCGACAACCGCCAACGACAAUGCCUUUAGAUCCUCAGCGGUGCCUUCAGAACUGCAAACGCCCCAUCAAAGAUCUUAGGGAGAAGAAAAACACAUCCAUAGAGCUCUAUCCAAGCAGAGGACCGGCCAAUUGAAAUCACCUACAAGAACGCAGACCCGCGUCGCUCCAAAACCCCAAAGUACCAAUCCAAUGAUCAAAGAAAGGCGACGCAGUCAAAAGCUCGGAGAGGAGGUCGGGCACCACCAUCAGAAGCGAAGCGAAAGACGACCAAAUUUUACUUCAAGAGCACCACAAAACAAUCCAUCAUGGAAAGAACCUGCAAGGUAUGGCGCCAACCCACAAAAAGAGCAACAUAACAGCGAAAAAAACGUCGAUCUAGAAGCACACAUCGUCGCACUGAGCGAGGAGGGAGGAAGAGAUGUUCGUCGAAUCCGGAUUUGGUUUAGAAAAGACAACAUGACCAAGAUCUCAAAAAAAGGAAAGGAUGAUAGUAAGAGGAUGAGGAAGGCAAGGGGAGGGUGCGAGGAAAAGGGAAAAGAGAGCUAAAGGGAUGGUUGCCAUCGCGCCGGGGCGGCGCGGCAGCCACCCAAAAGAACCAGGGCGCACCGAGAGGAAGAACAUAGGUUUUAGAGAAAUGAAAAGGUUAGAGAGAGGGCUUUCGAAAACACUAAAUGAGGAGAGAUAAAAAUAAAUUUCAAAGAGUAAUUUAGGCAAACAAAUUCUUCCUAUGUCCUUAAUUAUAAGCUAACUUAAUUGAUGCAUUGGUUUUAAAAAAUAUUGUACAAUCUUCCACAUUUACCUUUAUUUAAGAUAAAAGACUUUAGUUGACUAGUAGUAGAAAAGAGAAUAAAAGUUGGUGUUAAUCAAAUUUUUUGUAAAAAGUUAACAAUAUUAAUUGUAUAUUUUAACCUGCAUAUUUUUUCUCUUUCUUAACAGUUUUUUAUUAAGCAGAGGAAGUAGUUUGUAGUAGUAUUCACAACUAUUAAGUUGCUUGCUCGAUCUGAGUUAAGGCAUGUCCACGUACCGGUUUCGGUCAGAUUUGGACUAAAAUAAUUGGUUUUAUUGGGUGAAAAACAUUAAAGUGCUAGAUCUGUCAUCGACCGGUUAGUUGCUACGAGUUGUACGAUUUUGGUUUGCACGGAUCGCGGUUUUUCCGGGUGGGUUCAUAUGGCUUUUUUUUAUCAACUAAAUUUCUAGUUGAUCACUGAACCUUCCCCUCCAAAAUUCGAAUGUGCCCAGCUCUUAGCACAUGAGUUAUCAUUCAGGGACGUGUUCAUAUGACUUGUUAAUCUAGAAACAAUUACCAAAAAAUAGAUGAAACUACGAAGUUGGCUCCACCUUGAUGAUGCAUGACAAUGACAUAAAAUAAAACUCUACUUCAAUAUAUCUCACUCAUCUAAAUGAAUGAACUCUUGGACAAAGUCUCACUAGCAUUACGGAUUCAUUCAAAUUUAUAAUUGUUAUAGAUCUCACUUUUUUUUAUAUAUAUAUAUGCAUAAAGGAAUUCUUAGAUAAAACAUCACUCCACCUUAUUAUAUCUUAAACGACAUAAUAAGUUAUAGAGUAUAUAACCAAAUGCUAAAUAAUAUAUAUAAAAUAUUAUCAGACAUUAUCAUAUCAUACAUUUCAAUUAGAUUUUAUGCCACAUGGACCUUUACCUUUUUGUACAUAUAUAUUAUUAAGUGUUCCAAGAAAGUAGUUAGGGCGGGUAACAUCAAUCAGGAAUCAGCUUGGGAGGUAUAGUGCAAAUUGGUUCUAUAAAUUGUCGAUUUAGGUUGGUAGAAAGCAAACACAUGCAAUUGAAAAAAGAGCAUCAUAUCGAUCAAUAUGUGGAGAUUAAAGAUAGGAGAAGGUGGGAAUGAUCCUUAUCUGUUCAGCACAAACAACUUCGUGGGAAGACAAACAUGGGAGUUUGUUCCUGAUGCAGGGAGUCCUGAGGAGCAUGCUCAAGUUGAAGCUGCACGUCAUAACUUCUUCAACAAUCGCUUCCAUGUCAAAGCUUGUUCUGACCUUCUAUGGCGCUUUCAAGUAUGUAUUUAACUAUUUAUUACUCGAUCGUUCGUUUUUUUUAUAAGAAUAAAACUAUUAUUUCACGUCAUUUAACAAAUAUAAUUAGUUUGUAGGAUUAAAUUUAGUUUAAAUUUAUAUUAUCUUUCCUAAAUUAUCCCAACCUAUUUUACUUAAUUUAUAGUCAUUAUUAAUGAGUUGCAGUUUUACAUGUAUAUAUAGCAUUUUUUACUUAAUCCAUGACAAAGACUUCAAUUUCACAUGUAUAUAUAGCAUUUUUAUGCUGACAUUAUAUAUUGUUAGAAUUGUAAUCAAGUCUAUCAAUUAAUUAAAAAAAAUACUUUAAAAUAAACUUUACAACAUAUGUUUGCUCAGCUGAUAAAAACAAAUCAAUUUUUCUCAAAAUGUAAUUAUGUGUUAUUUAACAUGAAAAUUAUGUUGGUAAGUAAUAUGUGAGUACAUUAGUAAAAGACCUGUAAUCUUGAAAGCAUGCCCUACCUCAAAAUGGUAAUCAAAGCUCAACCAAUCCAAAAUUUUCCAUUAAUAAAAAAAAUGCAUGCAUAUUUCCAUCGUUUGUGAAAUGCUUCAACUCGUGUAUGGUGGAGGAUAUUGCAGGUGCUAAGAGAAAAGAAGUUCCAACAAAAAAUAAGCAAGGUAAAGAUAGAGGAGGGAGAGGAGGUUACGUACGAGAAAACAACAGCUGCAUUAAAGAGGGCCACCCUCUACCUAGCUGCAUUGCAGACCAGGGAUGGCCAUUGGCCUGCUCAAAAUGCCGGAAUACUUUACUGUCUUCCUCCUUUGGUUAGUAUAUCAUUAGUAUAUACAGGUUUUGUCUCCUGUGGACAAUUAAUUCAAAUACUUAAAAAUAUAUUGUGAAUAAUAACAUUUAUUAAAUAUUAUUAGUAAAAACAUUUAGUGAACUAGCUGUGUUAAAAAUUGGUUUAUUGUGAACCAUGUUGUUUUACUACUUCACAUCGUACUAUAUACUGCUCCUUAUGGAAUAAAACUAAUGGCUUAAAUAAGUUUUUUCAUUCAUGUAACAUACUUUAUUUCUGAGAUUUUUUUUUCAUUUUUUGUCCUCCUAAAAUUAUAACUUUUGUUUUUCAUCCAUGACGCGUUCUUUUACAUCCAAAAGAGACAAAAGGGUGUGAAUGAGAAGAUGGGUACGUGAGUGAUUGGGAUAGAUGGAGCUAAAUUGUGGGAGGAAAAGAGGAACUGUGAUAUGUCAUGUUUAAAAUGAUUUCCGUUGGUUUAGAUGGAAAAGUUGCUAAUAAAGACGAAAAGCUAAAGUUGCAAUUUUGGGAUGAUGAAAAACAAAAAAAAUUCCAAAGAUGAAAACUAGAAAUUGAGUAUUUUGCAGGGACAAAAACUUAUUUAAGCCAAAAUUAAUUUAUAGAGAAAUAUUUUAACUUUUGAAUUAAAUUUUUCUUAGUCCAGUACAGAUAAAAGUCUUGUUUUAAUUCAUUAAAUUACUUAACUAUGAUGAAAUCACAAGCACAUUUUGCAAACAAUAUUUUAAACUUGUAAGGGGGAAGAAGUGGUGGAAGAUAAAGGACUAAAUUUGAUUUGAAAACAAUUGUAGGGACUAAAAAUGAUGUCAACAGUCCACAUGGUCAUCAGUUAGUUGACUAGGAUUGUCACGUGGACAAUUGACUUGGAUCUACUGCAAAUAAAAAACAUUUUUAAAGGAUCGAUUGCUAAAUGUUACAUGGACCUAAUUAGAUUCAUCUUUAAAUGUUAGGGACUAAAAACAUAUUUAAGCCAAAACAAUUUUUUUUGUACAUCGAAAAAAUAAAUUGCACCCUCCAAAGAUUGAUCAAUGGACCUCUCCCAUAAGUCCCCCUUAGCUUUUACCACUUGAGUUAUCAUUCCGAGACAAGCCAAAAUAAUUUAAUAUAAUAUAGAAGAAUUUUGAGAAAAUUCAAUUCCAAAUAUUGCACUAAUAAACCAGAAUAUAUUUUAAACUCUCACCCCCCAAAAAAUGGCAGGUAUUUUGUAUGUACAUUACAGGGCAUCUUGACUCGAUAUUCUCAAAAGAGCAUCGCAAAGAGAUGUUUCGUUACAUAUACUGUCACCAGGUACACUUGCAUGUUCAUUUUAAAAAUUGUAUCAUUUUUUUGUUGCAAAGUAAGGAAAGCACUGACCAUGUUAAUUGUACAUGUGAUAUUGAUUAUGAAUUGAUUAAGAACGAAGAUGGAGGGUGGGGAUCUCACAUAGAAGGACAUAGCACCAUGUUUGGCACUACAUUCAACUACAUAUGUAUGCGCAUUCUUGGAGAAGGGCCUAAUGGAGGUCAAGACAAUGCUUGUGCUAGAGCACGCAAGUGGAUUCAUGAUCAUGGUGGCGCGACAUAUACACCUUCCUGGGGGAAAACUUGGCUUUCGG